This 73-nucleotide transfer RNA is filed under the name Anaerolineae bacterium. RNAcentral describes it as "tRNA-Ala". It matches the Rfam family "tRNA". Rfam says of the family: Transfer RNA (tRNA) molecules are approximately 80 nucleotides in length. Their secondary structure includes four short double-helical elements and three loops (D, anti-codon, and T loops). Further hydrogen bonds mediate the characteristic L-shaped molecular structure. tRNAs have two regions of fundamental functional importance: the anti-codon, which is responsible for specific mRNA codon recognition, and the 3' end, to which the tRNAs corresponding amino acid is attached (by aminoacyl-tRNA synthetases). tRNAs cope with the degeneracy of the genetic code in two manners: having more than one tRNA (with a specific anti-codon) for a particular amino acid; and 'wobble' base-pairing, i.e. permitting non-standard base-pairing at the 3rd anti-codon position. Lineage: Bacteria; Bacillati; Chloroflexota; Anaerolineae. The record is from RNAcentral.
GGGCCCAUAGCUCAGCUGGGAGAGCGCUUCAAUGGCAUUGAAGAGGUCAAGAGUUCGAAUCUCUUUGGGUCCA